AGUGAACGCUGGCGGUAGGCCUAACACAUGCAAGUCGAACGGCAGCACAGUAAGAGCUUGCUCUUACGGGUGGCGAGUGGCGGACGGGUGAGGAAUACAUCGGAAUCUACUUUUUCGUGGGGGAUAACGUAGGGAAACUUACGCUAAUACCGCAUACGACCUACGGGUGAAAGCAGGGGAUCUUCGGACCUUGCGCGAUUGAAUGAGCCGAUGUCGGAUUAGCUAGUUGGCGGGGUAAAGGCCCACCAAGGCGACGAUCCGUAGCUGGUCUGAGAGGAUGAUCAGCCACACUGGAACUGAGAGACGGUCCAGACUCCUACGGGAGGCAGCAGUGGGGAAUAUUGGACGAUGGGCGCAAGCCUGAUCCAGCCAUACCGCGUGGGUGAAGAAGGCCUUCGGGUUGUAAAGCCCUUUUGUUGGGAAAGAAAAGCAGCAGGUUAAUACCCCGCUGUUCUGACGGUACCCAAAGAAUAAGCACCGGCUAACUUCG
RNAcentral lists this ribosomal RNA (490 nucleotides) under uncultured bacterium. RNAcentral describes it as "partial 16S ribosomal RNA". It matches the Rfam family "Bacterial small subunit ribosomal RNA", at positions 29 to 505 of the family's 1533-position model. The record is from RNAcentral.